This 496-nucleotide ribosomal RNA is filed under the name uncultured Lachnospiraceae bacterium. RNAcentral's name for it is "bacterial SSU rRNA". It matches the Rfam family "Bacterial small subunit ribosomal RNA", at positions 15 to 507 of the family's 1533-position model. Lineage: Bacteria; Bacillati; Bacillota; Clostridia; Lachnospirales; Lachnospiraceae. The record is from RNAcentral.
GAUCCUGGCGUCAGGAUGACGCUGGCGGCGUGCCUAACACAUGCAAGUCGAACGAAGCGCAUGCCCUGGAACCCGUCCCGGGGGAAGGGGCGAUAUGACUGAGUGGCGGACGGGUGAGUAACGCGUGGGCAACCUGCCCCGCACUGGGGGACAACAGCCGGAAACGGCUGCUAAUACCGCAUAUGCGCACAGCUUUGCAUGAAGCAGUGUGGAAAACUCCGGUGGUGCGGGAUGGGCCCGCGUCUGAUUAGCUGGUUGGCGGGGCAACGGCCCACCAAGGCGACGAUCAGUAGCCGGCCUGAGAGGGUGGACGGCCACAUUGGGACUGAGACACGGCCCAGACUCCUACGGGAGGCAGCAGUGGGGGAUAUUGCACAAUGGGGGGAACCCUGAUGCAGCGACGCCGCGUGAGCGAAGAAAUACCUAGGUAUGUAAAGCUCUAUCAGCAGGGAAGAAAAUGACGGUACCUGACUAAGAAGCCCCGGCUAAAUACGUG